RNAcentral lists this ribosomal RNA (318 nucleotides) under Ameiva parecis. RNAcentral describes it as "partial 12S ribosomal RNA". It matches the Rfam family "Bacterial small subunit ribosomal RNA", at positions 864 to 1342 of the family's 1533-position model. Lineage: Eukaryota; Metazoa; Chordata; Lepidosauria; Squamata; Teiidae. The record is from RNAcentral.
UCUGUCCGCCAGAGAAUUACGGGCGAAAGCCUAAAACUCAAAAGACUUGACGGUGUCCCAACCCUGCCUAGAGGAGCCUGUUUCAUAAUCGACAACCCCCGCUCAACCCAACCUCCCCUCGAACACCCCAGCCUAUAUACCGCCGUCUUACUUUUAGCCUACCCUUUGAAAGAAAUAAAGUGGGCACAAUAGUCCAACAACUAAAAAGUCAGGUCAAGGUGUAGCUUAUGGGAAGGAGAAAAUGGGCUACAUUUUCUGCUUCAGAACACCACGGAAUAUGCCCUGAAAUAGGCAUAUAAAGGCGGAUUUAGUAGUAAG